GGAGAGGUGGCUGAGUGGCUGAAAGCGCCAGAUUGCUAAUCUGGUGUCUCCUUUAUUGGGGACCGCGGGUUCAAAUCCCGCCCUCUCCGCCA
Molecule: transfer RNA, 92 nt
Filed under: bacterium
Lineage: Bacteria
Also listed under: 1 other name
Description: tRNA-Ser
Rfam family: tRNA
About the family: Transfer RNA (tRNA) molecules are approximately 80 nucleotides in length. Their secondary structure includes four short double-helical elements and three loops (D, anti-codon, and T loops).
Source: RNAcentral